GUGCAUGAAAUUGCUGAGUUUUUCAAGAGAUCAGAUGCACCUUUUCAAAAUAAGAACAUUUUUCUAAGAGAAAUAUAUGAAGCUCAUGCCCAACUCAAGACUUGUCUAAAGCCCAAACUUAACAUCAUCCACGAAUCUAUAGUAAAACAGUGCUUCCAAAAAAUGGAUACAUUUGUGUCCAAGACAAAUGAUCACUGCACUUGGCAAGAGAUCCAUGCACAAUCAAGAGAGCUACUUCAAAGAAUUGAAAACUACUCUUUCAGGAGA
Lagopus leucura (white-tailed ptarmigan) is the source of this 267-nucleotide long non-coding RNA. RefSeq lists it as uncharacterized. The transcript is spliced from 3 exons. The record is from RefSeq and is a predicted model, not a curated record. Lineage: Eukaryota; Metazoa; Chordata; Aves; Galliformes; Phasianidae.